CCGCCAGACUCCUACGGGAGGCAGCAGUGAGGAAUAUUGGUCAAUGGGCGCUAGCCUGAACCAGCCAAGUAGCGUGAAGGAUGACUGCCCUAUGGGUUGUAAACUUCUUUUAUAUGGGAAUAAAGUGCAGUAUGUAUACUGCUUUGCAUGUACCUUAUGAAUAAGGAUCGGCUAACUCCGUGCCAGCAGCCGCGGUAAUACGGAGGAUGCGAGCGUUAUCCGGAUUUAUUGGGUUUAAAGGGUGCGCAGGCGGAAUGUCAAGUCAGCGGUAAAAUUGCGGGGCUCAACCCCGUCGUGCCGUUGAAACUGGCGUUCUUGAGUGAGCGAGAAGUAUGCGGAAUGCGUGGUGUAGCGGUGAAAUGCAUAGAUAUCACGCAGAACUCCGAUUGCGAAGGCAGCAUACCGGCGCGCAACUGACGCUCAUGCACGAAAGCGUGGGUAUCGAACAGGAUUAGAUACCCGUGUA
Molecule: ribosomal RNA, 466 nt
Filed under: uncultured bacterium
Lineage: Bacteria
Description: bacterial SSU rRNA
Rfam family: Bacterial small subunit ribosomal RNA
Source: RNAcentral